UCUCUCUCUCUCUCUCUCUCUUUUUCUUUCUGUGACACCAACCUGCUUGUUGUAUAAUUUUAUUGUUUAUCAACUGAGUGCAUCCUUUGAGAAGGUUUUUUUUUUUUCCCUUACUACUUUCCUGAUCACGAAUGGUCAGAAUAUCCAGGUUCAUUAAAAACAUCCAUAGCAUGAGCAGAAGUUAUCGAACAAUGUCACCAUCUACAGCUGAAAAAAAAAACUCUAUUUCAACUUAGGUUUGGAUAAUUCUUGAAUGUGUCUCUGGUGAUGAGCUUUUUAGUUCACCAGUCACACUUGACUUGUUAAGGAUAAGAAAAUAUUAGUAUUUUGUCUCCUUUAUUUAACACAUGAUAUUGAAUAUUAAAAUGCUUAUUUUCUGAAAUAUUCUUAAAUGAAAUGAUGUUCAUUUUAGUGGCUCUAUCAAUUAUGCAAAAAUGUUUAUUAUGCUAAUUAAUACACAUUUUUGCAUCAUUUAUGAAGAAAAAGUUCUAUUUUCAUACAUGGGUUGAAUCAUGAUUAGAUAAAUGGAUAUAAUUAACAUGUAUGUAUGUGUGUGUGUAUAUAUGUAUUGAGGU
Octopus sinensis (East Asian common octopus) is the source of this 575-nucleotide long non-coding RNA. RefSeq lists it as uncharacterized. NCBI's taxonomy places the organism in Eukaryota, Metazoa, Mollusca, Cephalopoda, Octopoda, Octopodidae. The transcript has 3 exons. The record is from RefSeq and is a predicted model, not a curated record.